AUUGAACGCUGGCGGCAGGCCUAACACAUGCAAGUCGAGCGAGAGGGGGGCGGGUGGGUAAUGUAUGGGGACUGCCCGAUCGGGGGGGAUAACUCCUGGAAACGGUGGCUAAUACCGCCUCCUGUCGGAUUCACCAUCUGGGAUUAGCUAGUAGGUAAGGUAAUGGCUUACCUCGGCGACGAGCCCUAGCUGUGCUGAGAGGAUGAUCAGCCACACUGGAACUGUGACACGGCCAAGACUCCUACGGAGGCAGCAUUGGUGAAUAUUGCCCAAUGGGCGCAAGCCUGAUGCAGCCAUGCCGCGUGUGUUAAGAAGGCCCUAGGGUUGUAAAGUACGUUCAGUCGGGAUGCGUUACCGACAGAAGAAGCACCGGCUAACUCCGUGCCAGCAGCCGCGGUAAUUC
This 403-nucleotide ribosomal RNA is filed under the name uncultured bacterium. RNAcentral's name for it is "partial 16S ribosomal RNA". It matches the Rfam family "Bacterial small subunit ribosomal RNA", at positions 30 to 526 of the family's 1533-position model. The record is from RNAcentral.